RNAcentral lists this ribosomal RNA (433 nucleotides) under uncultured bacterium. RNAcentral's name for it is "partial 16S ribosomal RNA". It matches the Rfam family "Bacterial small subunit ribosomal RNA", at positions 29 to 507 of the family's 1533-position model. The record is from RNAcentral.
AACGAACGCUGGCGGCAUGCCUAACACAUGCAAGUCGAACGAGACCUUCGGGUCUAGUGGCGCACGGGUGCGUAACGCGUGGGAACCUGCCCUUAGGUUGGGAAUAACUCCCCGAAAGGGGUGCUAAUACCGGAUAAUGUCUUCGGACCAAAGAUUUAUCGCCUUUGGAUGGGCCCGCGUUGGAUUAGCUAGUUGGUAGGGUAAAAGCCUACCAAGGCGACGAUCCAUAGCUGGUCUGAGAGGAUGAUCAGCCACACUGGGACUGAGACACGGCCCAGACUCCUACGGGAGGCAGCAGUGGGGAAUAUUGGACAAUGGGCGAAAGCCUGAUCCAGCAAUGCCGCGUGAGUGAUGAAGGCCUUAGGGUUGUAAAGCUCUUUUACCCGGGAUGAUAAUGACAGUACCGUGAGAAUAAGCUCCGGCUAACUCCGUG